CCUACGGGUGGCAGCAGUGAGGAAUAUUGGUCAAUGGGCGCUAGCCUGAACCAGCCAAGUAGCGUGAAGGAUGACUGCCCUAUGGGUUGUAAACUUCUUUUAUAUGGGAAUAAAGUGCAGUAUGUAUACUGCUUUGCAUGUACCUUAUGAAUAAGGAUCGGCUAACUCCGUGCCAGCAGCCGCGGUAAUACGGAGGAUCCGAGCGUUAUCCGGAUUUAUUGGGUUUAAAGGGUGCGUAGGCGGUCGGAUAAGUUAGAGGUGAAAUCCCGAGGCUCAACUUCGGAAUUGCCUCUGAUACUGUUCGGCUAGAGAGUAGUUGCGGUAGGCGGAAUGUAUGGUGUAGCGGUGAAAUGCUUAGAGAUCAUACAGAACACCGAUUGCGAAGGCAGCUUACUAAACUGCCACUGACAUUGAUGCUCGAAAGUGUGGGUAUCAAACAGGAUUAGAUACCCUUGUAGUC
This 460-nucleotide ribosomal RNA is filed under the name uncultured bacterium. RNAcentral describes it as "partial 16S ribosomal RNA". It matches the Rfam family "Bacterial small subunit ribosomal RNA", at positions 338 to 795 of the family's 1533-position model. The record is from RNAcentral.